UACGAAGGGGGCUAGCGUUGUUCGGAAUUACUGGGCGUAAAGCGCACGUAGGCGGAUCGAUCAGUCAGGGGUGAAAUCCCAGGGCUCAACCCUGGAACUGCCUUUGAUACUGUCGAUCUGGAGUAUGGAAGAGGUGAGUGGAACUCCGAGUGUAGAGGUGAAAUUCGUAGAUAUUCGGAGGAACACCAGUGGCGAAGGCGGCUCACUGGUCCAUUACUGACGCUGAGGUGCGAAAGCGUGGGGAGCAAACAGG
RNAcentral lists this ribosomal RNA (253 nucleotides) under uncultured bacterium. Its description in RNAcentral is "partial 16S ribosomal RNA". It matches the Rfam family "Bacterial small subunit ribosomal RNA", at positions 524 to 776 of the family's 1533-position model. The record is from RNAcentral.